Molecule: transfer RNA, 62 nt
Filed under: Mesocricetus auratus (golden hamster)
Lineage: Eukaryota; Metazoa; Chordata; Mammalia; Rodentia; Cricetidae
Rfam family: tRNA
About the family: Transfer RNA (tRNA) molecules are approximately 80 nucleotides in length. Their secondary structure includes four short double-helical elements and three loops (D, anti-codon, and T loops). Further hydrogen bonds mediate the characteristic L-shaped molecular structure. tRNAs have two regions of fundamental functional importance: the anti-codon, which is responsible for specific mRNA codon recognition, and the 3' end, to which the tRNAs corresponding amino acid is attached (by aminoacyl-tRNA synthetases). tRNAs cope with the degeneracy of the genetic code in two manners: having more than one tRNA (with a specific anti-codon) for a particular amino acid; and 'wobble' base-pairing, i.e. permitting non-standard base-pairing at the 3rd anti-codon position.
Source: Rfam by way of RNAcentral
UGUAGCUCAGUUGGUAGAGUGCCUGCCUAGCAAACAUGAAUCCCUGGGUUCUAUCCCCGGCA